Molecule: ribosomal RNA, 428 nt
Filed under: uncultured bacterium
Lineage: Bacteria
Description: bacterial SSU rRNA
Rfam family: Bacterial small subunit ribosomal RNA
Source: RNAcentral
UGGGGAAUAUUGGACAAUGGGCGAAAGCCUGAUCCAGCAAUACCGCGUGUGUGAAGAAGGCCUUAGGGUUGUAAAGCACUUUCAAUUGGAAGGAAAAAAGUGAGGUCAAUACCCUCACUCUUGACAUUACCUUUAGAAGAAGCACCGGCUAACUCCGUGCCAGCAGCCGCGGUAAUACGGAGGGUGCGAGCGUUAAUCGGAAUUACUGGGCGUAAAGCGUGCGUAGGCGGCUUAUUAAGUCAGAUGUGAAAGCCCCGGGCUUAACCUGGGAACUGCAUUUGAAACUGGUAGGCUAGAGUUGAGUAGAGGGGAGUGGAAUUUCAGGUGUAGCGGUGGAAUGCGCAGAUAUCAGGAGGAACACCAAUGGCGAAGGCAGGUCUCUGGGCCAUUACUGACACUGAGGAGCGAAAGCGUGGGGAGCGAACAGG